This 494-nucleotide ribosomal RNA is filed under the name uncultured bacterium. Its description in RNAcentral is "partial 16S ribosomal RNA". It matches the Rfam family "Bacterial small subunit ribosomal RNA", at positions 28 to 507 of the family's 1533-position model. The record is from RNAcentral.
GACGAACGCUGGCGGCGUGCUUAACACAUGCAAGUCGAACGGAAAGGCCUGCUUUCCCUUGUGGAUUGCGGGUACUCGAGUGGCGAACGGGUGAGUAACACGUGAGUGAUCUGCCCCCAACUUGGGUAUAAGCCUGGGAAACUGGGUCUAAUUCCCGAUAGGACUGCAGGGUGGUGCCUGUGGUGGAAAACGAUUUUCUAGUGGUUGGGGAUGAGCUCGCGGCCUAUCAGCUUGUUGGUGGGGUAAUGGCCUACCAAGGCGGCGACGGGUAGCCGGCCUGGGAGGGUGGACGGCCACAGUGGGACUGAGGUACGGCCCAGACUCCUACGGGAGGCAGCAGUGGGGAAUAUUGCACAAUGGGCGGAAGCCUGAUGCAGCGACGCCGCGUGGGGGAUGACGGCCUUCGGGUUGUAAACUCCUUUCGACCGCGAGGAAGCCACCUGGUUGGAAGGGUGGUGACGGUAGUGGUAGAAGAAGCACCGGCUAACUACGUG